GAUGAACGCUAGCGGCAGGCCUAAUGCAUGCAAGUCGAACGGUAAGGCCCUUUCGGGGGUACACGAGUGGCGGACGGGUGCGUAACGCGUAUGCAACAUGCCUUCCAGCGGGGGAUAUACCAGGGAAACUUGGCGCAAUACCCCAUAGAAUUACGGGACCGCAUGGUCUUGUGAUUAAAACUCCGGUGCUGGGAGAUUGGCAUGCGUGACAUUAGCUAGUUGGCGGGGUAACGGCCCACCAAGGUGACGAUGUCUAGCUGGUCUGAGAGGAUGAUCAGCCACACUGGGACUGAGACACGGCCCAGACUCCUACGGGAGGCAGCAGUAGGGAAUAUUGGACAAUGGGGGGAACCCUGAUCCAGCCAUGCCGCGUGAGUGAAGAAGGCCUCGGUUG
RNAcentral lists this ribosomal RNA (394 nucleotides) under uncultured bacterium. RNAcentral describes it as "bacterial SSU rRNA". It matches the Rfam family "Bacterial small subunit ribosomal RNA", at positions 28 to 425 of the family's 1533-position model. The record is from RNAcentral.